Molecule: unclassified non-coding RNA, 1308 nt
Filed under: Hevea brasiliensis (rubber tree)
Lineage: Eukaryota; Viridiplantae; Streptophyta; Magnoliopsida; Malpighiales; Euphorbiaceae
Source: RNAcentral
UUAAUGCAUGGCUAAUUAUUAGGUGCACCAGAAGCACUAAAAAAUAGUACUUCCUCUUUCAAAUAAAGUGAAUCCUUCCUAUUAUAUAGAAAAUGAAUUCUACAUUAUUACGAGAGAAAAUAUAUAUAUACCAAAUGUACCUAGUAAUUCAUCUAAAUGCAUUUACUUCGGAAGCCAUGUUUGGCUGCCCUCUCCAACGUCGACAAAUCAUGUUGGAUUUGAAUAGAAAAUUUUUCUCCCUUAAGGUUGAUUGAGGUAACUAGCUGCUUCGUGGAAGCGCGACAAUUGUAUCCUCAAAUCCCCAAUCCAUCUUCCAGAAAUAGUGUGGAUGAGGAUAACGUCUCUCUCUGCCUCUUUCCUCGAGUAUUCCCUCAUCAGAUUUAUUAAUUUUAAUCUCUAACAGUCAACAAAAUACAUUUAUAAAUAAUAAUAAUUGAGCAGGAUUCUUACCAGGCCGAAUCCCACAAUUCACUAUGUCUUGGUUUUUUGAGUCGCCGGCUGAGGAACAGGAGGAAUUUAGCUCGUCAACGUCUUCAACGACGUCGGCUAUUGGAAAGAACAGUGAUCUGUGGGGGAGUGAAUCAUCAGACUCAGACAGCGAGGAUUGCAAGGAAGAGAACGAAGUACAGAGCGCGUACAAGGGUAAACUCGAUAACAUUGAUGCCUUAGAAGACGCUUUGCCUAUCAGGUAAUCUAUUUUUCCCCCUUUUUCUACUUAUUAGAAGAAGACUGCUCUCUACGCUUCUUAAGUUGUGAUGUAUGUGAUGCAUUCCAGGAGAGGCAUAUCAGAGUUCUAUAAUGGAAGAUCGAAGUCCUUCCAAUGUCUGGCUACAGCUUCCUUAUUUUCCUCCAUUAAAGACAUUGCAAAACCAGAAAAUGCAUACACCAGGGAACGUAGAAACAGAGUUGCACAUAAUGUCUGGGACAAGAAUAGAAGUAGUUAUCCUCGCCUAAGUGAUAGGUGUGGGAUAUCAAAGAGGCCAAUUAGCUCCAGCCGAAGACCAAUGCCUCAAAGCAGAUCCUCAAGCAUCAGCAGCACAAAUUCAAAUUCCAGCUUCAAUUCAAAAUCGCCUCCAAAUCUGCACCUGCGAUCCAGUUCAUCUCAUAAUAAUCUAGCUGUAUUCUCAUCUCCACAACCUUCCCGAAAAUCAUUCUCCUUGCCUGAUUUACAACGCCAUUUCAUGCUUGAUCAAAUCGAUCAUUAGAUCAAAAUUUUCAUUUUUUCAAUUAGAUAAGUAAUACAUCAAUUUCAAAUUGAGUCCUGUACGUUUGUUUUCUUUUCAGUUUAGGACAAGCUCUAAAAAUUCG